GUUUGAUGUUCUAACGUGGAUCCGUAAUCCGGGUUGCGGACAGUGUCUGGUGGGUAGUUUGACUGGGGCGGUCUCCUCCUAAAGAGUAACGGAGGAGCACGAAGGUUGGCUAAUCCUGGUCGGACAUCAGGAGGUUAGUGCAAUGGCAUAAGCCAGCUUGACUGCGAGCGUGACGGCGCGAGCAGGUGCGAAAGCAGGUCAUAGUGAUCCGGUGGUUCUGAAUGGAAGGGCCAUCGCUCAACGGAUAAAAGGUACUCCGGGGAUAACAGGCUGAUACCGCCCAAGAGUUCAUAUCGACGGCGGUGUUUGGCACCUCGAUGUCGGCUCAUCACAUCCUGGGGCUGAAGUAGGUCCCAAGGGUAUGGCUGUUCGCCAUUUAAAGUGGUACGCGAGCUGGGUUUAGAACGUCGUGAGACAGUUCGGUCCCUAUCUGCCGUGGGCGCUGGAGAACUGAGGGGGGCUGCUCCUAGUACGAGAGGACCGGAGUGGACGCAUCACUGGUGUUCGGGUUGUCAUGCCAAUGGCACUGCCCGGUAGCUAAAUGCGGAAGAGAUAAGUGCUGAAAGCAUCUAAGCACGAAACUUGCCCCGA
Molecule: ribosomal RNA, 591 nt
Filed under: Salmonella enterica subsp. enterica serovar Infantis
Lineage: Bacteria; Pseudomonadati; Pseudomonadota; Gammaproteobacteria; Enterobacterales; Enterobacteriaceae
Also listed under: 2 other names
Description: partial 23S ribosomal RNA
Rfam family: Bacterial large subunit ribosomal RNA
Source: RNAcentral